Long non-coding RNA from Cryptomeria japonica (Japanese cedar), 1991 nucleotides. RefSeq lists it as uncharacterized. The record is from RefSeq and is a predicted model, not a curated record. The transcript has 3 exons. Lineage: Eukaryota; Viridiplantae; Streptophyta; Pinopsida; Cupressales; Cupressaceae.
GCCAAAAAUUGGACCCAAGAAACCAUGACCACUCCAAACAAAAUUCCAAAUAGUGAGUAAACUCGAGUAACCUAAUUUUCUAUUAAAAUGGGUCUUCGACACAUCAGGUUUAUCCUUCUUUAUCAAGCCUAGAGUUAAGAAUCUAAAGCAUCGCGCUUUUUCUACAGUAGCACUAAUUGUUCUAUUUUCAAUGUGUAGCUGUUAUUAAUUAAUCUGAGUGCAUACUGAUGAACUGUGUGCAUUUCAUUUGAUUGGCCUAGGUUAGAAUUAAUGAAAGGUUAUUUUUCUUUUUCACAUAUUUACUGUUUCUUUAUCACAGGGUCCAAUAUUAUAGGAAAUACAUAUUUUCUAAUUACUUACAGUUAUGCCUAACAUAAUGACCUGAACUGAAAACAAAACCAAAAUACUAAUUCAAGUUUUGACAGUUAGCUUCGUAAAGGUCAAAAUAGAACUGCAAAGGGAUUAAAUCAUUGAAGAUCUUUCCAAUUGUGAUGUCACAUUUCACAGCCAAUUUCAAAUUGUGGCAAAAACAGUGCUCAUUUAUGUCUAUUGCAGCAUAUAAAUCUCAAGAAAAGUUGCAUGUUUAGCCAAAAGCAGUGGACAGCAUAUUUCCACACCUAUAUCAAAUUCCUUUCAGAAUGACAAGGAUGGAUCUUUCAGGAGGCCGAUUCAUGUGUGGGAAAAGGAUGAAAAGGGGAUGAGCCUCAUGGUUGAUCAUCGAAUACUUGACCUCUUGUGAUAUCGAGAUUUGUGGAGCCUAGGGUUUCUGCAGAUUAUCUAUUGAUCUUUGGGAACGGAAACUCCCUUAGAUUGGCAUAACCAAGGUGGUGAAAGACCCACUGAAGGGUUGCAGAUUUGGGAAGGAUAAUUCAGUCCUUUCAUUUGGAUUCCAUUGGUGGCCAAAGGCCAAAUUGUGCUUGGGUUCGACUUGGACAAUAUUGUAAGCAUUUGGCAUUAGUGUCUACAACGAUUUUGGCUAUCUAAAAUGCUGAUUGUGAUUACCUUGUUCUGAGUUCUUAUCUCAGUAAUGUUCAGACUUCAUAUCAGUUGGAGAGAUGCCACGAUUUUGCUCAUAACUUCCAUUUGGUGCAUCGAUUUUGCUACUAGAUUGGAGCGCUCACCUUGGGGGAAGCCAACGAUGCUUCUUAAUGCUUAAAAGGGGACAUACAAGCUGGUAUUUAUUUGUUAUUGGCUUUCAUAUCAGAACAGGGGGGAUUUUGGAGAAUAGGGCGAUUUGGCAAGAGGAGAGCUCAAAGUGAAUUGAUAUUGCUUGCUUAUUCAUCAUCACACCUAGGCGCUUCAUCCAGGUAUGGAGGAUGAACAUGUAUCGAUUUCAAUGCCAUCCCCUUUCUUUUGAAUGAUGCAUAUAUAGUAAGGUAGUCACAAUCAAGUGGCACCUUGAUCGGACAUGUCCGACCAAGACGUCACUUGGUCGUGACUCUUAUAAAUGUCAACCGAUCCACUUGGUGUCUAUGAUAACUAAUCGGUGCAAUUGUAAAUGAUAACAGAUCAAUAUAAACACACCCGAUAAUGAAUCGGUAUCAAAGCAAACAAGCCUGAUAACUAAUAGCAUUACAUAUGCCAUCGGGUUAAUACCCCGAUAGUAUAUUAAUGCCGAUUCAUAAAUGAAUCGACAUUAAUUUGAUGCUUAACUAUGUUAAGCAAGUCGUCGAUCUAAUCCAUCUUCAUCCAAUGUCAAUAUCAUAAUCAUGAUCAAUGUUACAGUCUGAUAAACAUAUUCAGUUCGGAAAGCAUAAAUCAGAUAAUCUAAUAGCAUAGAUGAGUAAACCAAAACAGAAUAGAGGAGAUUAACGGGUUAGGAAAGUCUUAUCUUGAAGAAGCUACUAAUGCAUUAACAAUUUUGUUGCAACUUGUAUACUAUUUUUUUAAAGCACAUGCGUAUUUGUUAGUUUACAGAUUUGUCCUUUAGAAAGUGGUAACUGAAAUUACUCUUUUGCCCUAAAGCAAAGGCAAAUCUUGACUAACAAUUG